GAUGAACGCUGGCGGCGUGCCUAAUACAUGCAAGUCGAGCGAACAGAUAAGGAGCUUGCUCCUUGGACGUUAGCGGCGGACGGGUGAGUAACACGUGGGUAACCUACCUAUAAGACUGGGAUAACUUCGGGAAACCGGAGCUAAUACCGGAUAAUAUUUCGAACCGCAUGGUUCGAUAGUGAAAGAUGGUUGUGCUAUCACUUAUAGAUGGACCCGCGCCGUAUUAGCUAGUUGGUAAGGUAACGGCUUACCAAGGCGACGAUACGUAGCCGACCUGAGAGGCUGGUCGCCCACACUGGAACUGAGCCACCGUCCAGGCGCCUACGGGAGGCCGCAGUCGGGUACCUUCCGCAGUGGGCGAGAGCCUUACGGAGCAACGCCGCGUGAGUGAUGGAGGUCUUCCGAUCGUAAAGCUCUGUUAUUAGGGAAAAACAUACGUGUAAGUAACUGUGCACGUCUUGACGGUACCUAAUCAGAAAGCCACGGCUAACUACGUG
Molecule: ribosomal RNA, 497 nt
Filed under: uncultured bacterium
Lineage: Bacteria
Description: partial 16S ribosomal RNA
Rfam family: Bacterial small subunit ribosomal RNA
Source: RNAcentral